UUCUUUCCCUCCUUCCUUCUUUCCUUCUGAGCCUGGAACUCCCAGACCUUUACCUCUAAAGCGCUGGGAUAAUAAAUACGUGACCCUCCACCCUUGGCAGUUUUCCUGGCAUCUUUUUCCCUUCUUCAUGUGCUUGUGUGAAAUCUAACUGGCAACUUGUGACGUCACUCAGCCCACGCUCUCAUCCUCCUGGCAAGUGGCACCGUGAGCCAACCCGUGAAAUCCGGCAACCAGUGACUUAGCUCAGCCCGCACCGAGCCAGAGUUCCCUGGCACCCGGGGUCUUCUUGGGGCAGCGCGGGCCAGAGGGAACUAAGAGCUCCCUGCACGAGCUGCAGGUCACCGGGCUGUGGCGCCCUGGGUCUCGCGGCCACUUCCGCUGACGUCCACGGGUCGUGUGCCCAGGCGGGUAGGGACCAUUACGCCCUGCUCAGAGCCGCAGCCCUCGAGGGGCUCUUCCUGUCCGCCAAGGGGACCGACCCGACCGGACUGCUAAAGGGAAGCUGUCGGCGGGGCUGUCUCCGAAGACCCCCAAAAGGACCCUGGAUUUAUCUACAGCAGGCACAGACGCUUGCAGCAGACUGUAGCUUCAACUCCAGGAGAUCUGACCUCCACAGGAAUGGUGCCAAGAACUGGUAUGAGGUACCCACAUGCUCACAGGGACACAGACGGAGCACAAGGAAGGAAACCAUUUCUGCAGUGUGCUGAAGUAGCCCAAACUGCUUAGCCAGAGGGCCAGCUGCUUCCAGGCCUGGAUGUUGUCCUUCCGUAGCCACUGUUCAAUGAUUAUCUCCAUGUACAACGGGGGGAUCCCCACCAGCAGCAGCAGGAUGAGAGGAUGAGACCCUGUGGAUUGCUUCUAUCCCAAUAUGGUAUGAUGGACCACGUCUUUCUGAAAGGUUGCUGUGAACACCCUCAAGAAAUUACUUUGCUCAACUGCCGACUGAGAUGAAUCUAGCACACAAGUUAUAUCAUGAAAGACCUGAAUAACAACGCCCCAAUUCAGCAUGAAGCAGUUUGGAGAGAAUGUCCAUAUUUCCAAUAUUGUUUAUAAAUGUUCUUUUACAUUUAAAGGGGGAUAUGAUAUAUGAAUAAUUUGCAUUGGUAUGGAUUUUAAGGUCAAUUUUGUUAUAUAUAUAUGUAUGUAUUUCUGAUCUUGAUUAAGGUAUUGUGAUUGUGUAGUUCAUUUAAAAAUGUAAUAUAUAUAUAGGUUGUUAAUGGAUAAUCAUCAAUAAUCAAGCUUGUAGUCACAUUAGAUUUUCUAGAUAUAUAGAGUUAUAUUUCGGUUAAAUAGGCAUUCUUCAUAUCUUUCAAAGACUACAGAACAUGGCAUUUUAAAUGUCUUAAUAACUUAGGAUUGUUCAUGACAGUGAGACACAUCCGCUCCUGACAGCACCAAUCUACUUCAAGAGGAAGAUGGGCAUUGAAGAGGCUCCUUAUCAAAUUUGAUAGCCAUUUGGGCAAGAAACUGCUCUUGCCUGGACUGUUGCAUAAACUGGACACAGAGAACCUGCAGAGAGAGGACUGCUGAACUUGCCUAAAGGUGAAAUGGUCUUUCAGGGUUCCUGCUUCAUGAAAGAGUCUACAAGACAUUCUGCAGGACACAGCAGAUCGUGACUGAACUGUCUUUGAAAUUUCCUGCUUCAUGGAAAAGUCUGCUGGAUACUAUGGGCCUGAAGGUUGAAGACUGAUGCCCCAAUGGUACAGAGGAACUUUG
Alexandromys fortis (reed vole) is the source of this 1716-nucleotide long non-coding RNA. RefSeq lists it as uncharacterized. Lineage: Eukaryota; Metazoa; Chordata; Mammalia; Rodentia; Cricetidae. The record is from RefSeq and is a predicted model, not a curated record. The transcript is spliced from 4 exons.